Molecule: ribosomal RNA, 497 nt
Filed under: uncultured bacterium
Lineage: Bacteria
Description: partial 16S ribosomal RNA
Rfam family: Bacterial small subunit ribosomal RNA
Source: RNAcentral
GAUGAACGCUGGCGGCGUGCCUAAUACAUGCAAGUCGAGCGAACAGACGAGGAGCUUGCUCCUCUGAUGUUAGCGGCGGACGGGUGAGUAACACGUGGAUAACCUACCUAUAAGACUGGGAUAACUUCGGGAAACCGGAGCUAAUACCGGAUAAUAUAUUGAACCGCAUGGUUCAAUAGUGAAAGACGGUCUUGCUGUCACUUAUAGAUGGAUCCGCGCUGCAUUAGCUAGUUGGUAAGGUAACGGCUUACCAAGGCAACGAUGCAUAGCCGACCUGAGAGGGUGAUCGGCCACACUGGAACUGAGACACGGUCCAGACUCCUACGGGAGGCAGCAGUAGGGAAUCUUCCGCAAUGGGCGAAAGCCUGACGGAGCAACGCCGCGUGAGUGAUGAAGGUCUUCGGAUCGUAAAACUCUGUUAUUAGGGAAGAACAAAUGUGUAAGUAACUAUGCACGUCUUGACGGUACCUAAUCAGAAAGCCACGGCUAACUACGUG